RNAcentral lists this ribosomal RNA (492 nucleotides) under uncultured bacterium. RNAcentral's name for it is "partial 16S ribosomal RNA". It matches the Rfam family "Bacterial small subunit ribosomal RNA", at positions 29 to 507 of the family's 1533-position model. The record is from RNAcentral.
AGUGAACGCUGGCGGUAGGCCUAACACAUGCAAGUCGAACGGCAGCACAGUAAGAGCUUGCUCUUACGGGUGGCGAGUGGCGGACGGGUGAGGAAUACAUCGGAAUCUACUUUUUCGUGGGGGAUAACGUAGGGAAACUUACGCUAAUACCGCAUACGACCUACGGGUGAAAGCAGGGGAUCUUCGGACCUUGCGCGAUUGAAUGAGCCGAUGUCGGAUUAGCUAGUUGGCGGGGUAAAGGCCCACCAAGGCGACGAUCCGUAGCUGGUCUGAGAGGAUGAUCAGCCACAAUGGAACUGAGACACGGUCCAGACUCCGACGGGAGGCAGCAGUGGGGAAUAUUGGACAAUGGGCGCGAGCCUGAUCCAGCCAUACCGCGUGGGUGAAGAAGGCCUUCGGGUUGUAAAGCCCUUUUGUUGGGAAAGAAAAGCAGCAGGUUAAUACCCCGCUGUUCUGACGGUACCCAAAGAAUAAGCACCGGCUAACUUCGUG